CUACGGGAGGCAGCAGUGGGGAAUAUUGCACAAUGGGCGCAAGCCUGAUGCAGCGACGCCGCGUGAGGGAUGACGGCCUUCGGGUUGUAAACCUCUUUCACCAGGGACGAAGCGCAAGUGACGGUACCUGGAGAAGAAGCACCGGCCAACUACGUGCCAGCAGCCGCGGUAAUACGUAGGUGGCGAACGUUAUCCGGAAUCACUGGGCGUAAAGGGUCCGCAGGUGGCAUGACAAGUCGAUUGUGAAAGCUCCCGGCUCAACUGGGAGAGGACGGUCGAAACUGGCAAACUAGAGUCCGACAGAGGGCGGCGGAAUUCCCGGUGUAGUGGUGGAAUGCGUAGAUAUCGGGAGGAACGCCAAAAGCGAAAGCAGCCGGCUGGGUCGAGACUGACACUGAGGGACGAAAGCGUGGGUAGCGAACAGGAUUAGAAACCCUUGUAGUCC
Molecule: ribosomal RNA, 445 nt
Filed under: uncultured bacterium
Lineage: Bacteria
Description: bacterial SSU rRNA
Rfam family: Bacterial small subunit ribosomal RNA
Source: RNAcentral